UACGGAGGAGGCAAGCGUUAUCCGGAAUUAUUGGGCGUAAAGCGUCCGCAGGUGGCGAUUCAAGUCUGCGGUCAAAGACUGGGGCUUAACCCUGGAAAGGCCGUGGAAACUGAAAAGCUAGAGUGCAGUAGGGGUAGAGGGAAUUCCCGGUGUAGCGGUGAAAUGCGUAGAGCUCGGGAAGAACACCCGUGGCGAAGGCGGCUCUCUGGGACGGUACUGACGCUGAGACGCGAAAGCGUGGGGAGCGAACAGG
This 253-nucleotide ribosomal RNA is filed under the name uncultured bacterium. RNAcentral's name for it is "partial 16S ribosomal RNA". It matches the Rfam family "Bacterial small subunit ribosomal RNA", at positions 524 to 776 of the family's 1533-position model. The record is from RNAcentral.